Drosophila hydei is the source of this 871-nucleotide long non-coding RNA. RefSeq lists it as uncharacterized. NCBI's taxonomy places the organism in Eukaryota, Metazoa, Arthropoda, Insecta, Diptera, Drosophilidae. The transcript has 4 exons. The record is from RefSeq and is a predicted model, not a curated record.
GCUUAUCAACGAUUUGGGGUUUUGUUUUUUUUUUGUUUUUAUGCCAUUUUUGUUGCUUUGGGGCGAUGUUGGCCAGAAAAUUGCUGUCAAAAAUGUGCAAGUUGUUCUCAUGCUCGUUUAAUAUAGAAAUUAUUUAAAGUUUAUUUUUUUUCUCAUCUGCUUCUUCUGUUGCAGAGUUUCGGGCCAAUUGAUGCUGGGAAAAUGGCAAAAUCGUGAACGCUUUGUAAGCACCGAUGACUGCGUCAAGCAUUUCAUCUGACGACUCUUACGACCAUUUAAUGACCUACAUUCAGAAGAGGGCAUGCAAAUUAAAAAAAAAAAGCAAGAAGGAAGAAGCAAAAACAUCACCUGGUUGACCGGCUAUAAAAGGAAGUUCUUUUAUGCAGUCAAAUCUAUAGUGGCUGCAGAUAACAUGGUCUUUGGGAUAACAAAAUUGCUAUUUUCAUUGGACUUGGGCUUUAGAGGCACAAUUGAAUAUGCUUUAAUAGAACACUAAAGCAAUAACAGCAGGCACAAUUGAAGAACAGGAUAAGCACACCACACCACAUUCUCAAACUCCUUUUCGUCCUCUCUCAUGCAGCAUAGCAUACGGCCGAUCUACACAAGCUUAAAUUUCAGUCAACAUAGGAAUAUAGUUUCAGACUAUUCUUGCAUAAUAAUCAAAUUUCAUGUGCAAUUAUGAAAUUAUCACCAAAAUGUUCAUAAAACUAGCGAUGGCGUAAAUCACGGAGCGACUGACUACAUAGGGCCAAACCAAACGAGGUGUCUAGCCUUGCGGUUGCUAGAGUGAAGCACAGGGCGUUGUUAAUGUUGGGGAAGAGACGACUGAAAAGACAACAUUCUGCUUAACCACAUUCUCCUUAAGAACAGU